AAGCCAGACUCCUACGGGAGGCAGCAGUGGGGAAUAUUGCACAAUGGGGGAAACCCUGAUGCAGCGACGCCGCGUGAAGGAUGAAGUAUUUCGGUAUGUAAACUUCUAUCAGCAGGGAAGAAAAUGACGGUACCUGAUUAAGAAGCCCCGGCUAACUACGUGCCAGCAGCCGCGGUAAUACGUAGGGGGCAAGCGUUAUCCGGAUUCACUGGGUGUAAAGGGAGCGUAGACGGCGACGCAAGUCUGGAGUGAAAGCCCGGGGCCCAACCCCGGGACUGCUCUGGAAACUGCGGCGCUGGAGUACGGGAGGGGCAGGCGGAAUUCCUGGUGUAGCGGUGAAAUGCGUAGAUAUCAGGAGGAACACCGGCGGCGAAGGCGGCCUGCUGGACCGUGACUGACGUUGAGGCUCGAGAGCGUGGGGAGCAAACAGGAUUAGAUACCCUGGUAC
RNAcentral lists this ribosomal RNA (448 nucleotides) under uncultured bacterium. RNAcentral describes it as "partial 16S ribosomal RNA". It matches the Rfam family "Bacterial small subunit ribosomal RNA", at positions 328 to 793 of the family's 1533-position model. The record is from RNAcentral.